This 207-nucleotide ribosomal RNA is filed under the name uncultured bacterium. RNAcentral describes it as "partial 16S ribosomal RNA". It matches the Rfam family "Bacterial small subunit ribosomal RNA", at positions 568 to 774 of the family's 1533-position model. The record is from RNAcentral.
CUCGUAGGCGGUUCGUCGCGUCCGGUGUGAAAGUCCAUCGCUUAACGGUGGAUCCGCGCCGGGUACGGGCGGGCUUGAGUGCGGUAGGGGAGACUGGAAUUCCCGGUGUAACGGUGGAAUGUGUAGAUAUCGGGAAGAACACCAAUGGCGAAGGCAGGUCUCCGGGCCGUCACUGACGCUGAGGAGCGAAAGCGUGGGGAGCGAACA